RNAcentral lists this ribosomal RNA (460 nucleotides) under uncultured bacterium. RNAcentral's name for it is "partial 16S ribosomal RNA". It matches the Rfam family "Bacterial small subunit ribosomal RNA", at positions 338 to 795 of the family's 1533-position model. The record is from RNAcentral.
CCUACGGGUGGCAGCAGUGAGGAAUAUUGGUCAAUGGACGAGAGUCUGAACCAGCCAAGUAGCGUGAAGGAUGACUGCCCUAUGGGUUGUAAACUUCUUUUAUAAAGGAAUAAAACGAGGCACGUGUGCCUGUUUGCAUGUACUUUAGGAAUAAGGAUCGGCUAACUCCGUGCCAGCAGCCGCGGUAAUACGGAGGAUCCGAGCGUUAUCCGGAUUUAUUGGGUUUAAAGGGAGCGUAGAUGGGUUGUUAAGUCAGUUGUGAAAGUUUGCGGCUCAACCGGAAAAUUGCAAUUGAUACUGGCAGUCUUGAGUACAGUUGAGGUAGGCGGAAUUCGUGGUGUAGCGGUGAAAUGCUUAGAUAUCACGAAGAACCCCGAUUGCGAAGGCAGCUUACUAAACUGUGACUGACAUUGAUGCUCGAAAGUGUGGGUAUCAAACAGGAUUAGAUACCCUGGUAGUC